This 565-nucleotide long non-coding RNA is filed under the name Jatropha curcas. RNAcentral's name for it is "long non-coding RNA (JCUR_LNC002184)". Lineage: Eukaryota; Viridiplantae; Streptophyta; Magnoliopsida; Malpighiales; Euphorbiaceae. The record is from RNAcentral.
AGGAAGCAAAUUCAACUGCUUCCAACGAUGAAGGCAUUCUAUCAUGCUCUUUUAGCAAAGUCACUGUCAUCAUCAUCCCUGCCUUCCAAAGGUUCAGCUUGAUCAUAACCUGCACCUGCAUCAUCAAAGCUGCUACCUCCCUGGCCAAAAAAUUUAUCGUCACCACCAUCUUUAUUGCUGCUACCAAAGUUACCACUGCCAGCACCAUUUUCACUAGUGUUUCCACCUGCAACACCACCUCCAUAAGCUCCAAAACUCCAACCACCUCCAGAAGCUCCAGUGCUACUACUGUCAAACGUGUUUCCACCAGAAGUAACAUCUGCAUUGGCAUAGUCACUGCCGCCGCUAGUGUUACCAGCUCCAUAAUUCCCACCGGAACUACCGUAAUUACUGCUAUAGCCUCCACCACCAGCUCCAUAGCCUCCGGCACCUGCACCGUAGCCCCCGCCACCUGCACCGUAGCCCCCGCCUGCACCAUAGCCGCCACCACCACUUGCACCGUAGCCGCCGCCACUGAAGCCACCACCUCCACCAAAGCCACCACGAGCUCUAUCGUUCGCAUAAU